This 786-nucleotide ribosomal RNA is filed under the name uncultured Acidobacteriota bacterium. RNAcentral's name for it is "bacterial SSU rRNA". It matches the Rfam family "Bacterial small subunit ribosomal RNA", at positions 71 to 836 of the family's 1533-position model. The record is from RNAcentral. Lineage: Bacteria; Pseudomonadati; Acidobacteriota.
AAAGGGGAGCAAUCCCUGAGUAGAGUGGCAAACGGGUGAGUAACACGUGGGUGACCUGCCUUCGAGUGGGGGAUAACGUCCCGAAAGGGACGCUAAUACCGCAUGACAUCCUGCUUUUGGAAAAGCGGAGAUCAAAGCUGGGGAUCGCAAGACCUGGCGCUUGAAGAGGGGCCCGCGCCUGAUUAGCUAGUUGGUGAGGUAAUGGCUCACCAAGGCUACGAUCAGUAUCCGGCCUGAGAGGGCGGACGGACACACUGGGACUGAGACACGGCCCAGACUCCUACGGGAGGCAGCAGUGGGGAAUUGUUCGCAAUGGGCGCAAGCCUGACGACGCAACGCCGCGUGGAGGAUGAAGAUCUUCGGGUCGUAAACUCCUGUCGAGCGGGAAGAACAGCCUCGGGGUGAAUAUCCCUGGAGCCUGACGGUACCGCUAAAGGAAGCCCCGGCUAACUCCGUGCCAGCAGCCGCGGUAAUACGGGGGGGGCAAGCGUUGUUCGGAAUUACUGGGCGUAAAGGGCUCGUAGGCGGCCAACUAAGUCAGACGUGAAAUCCCCAGGCUCAACCUGGGAACUGCGUCUGAUACUGGAUGGCUUGAAUUCGGGAGAGGGAUGCAGAAUUCCAGGUGUAGCGGUGAAAUGCGUAGAUAUCUGGAGGAAUACCGGUGGCGAAGGCGGCAUCCUGGACCGACAUUGACGCUNAGGAGCGAAAGCUAGGGGAGCAAACGGGAUUAGAUACCCCGGUAGUCCUAGCCCUAAACGAUGAAUGCUUGGUGUAACGGGUAUCGAU